AUGUAUGCUUAUACAUUAGCACGUGUUUCUAAUCUUUGGAAUUCAUUUGGAAAGUGUUUUUCUCAGCUGAGCCCUCGCUGUGUUCUGGCUCCCCGUGUUGGCUGCUGUGAAGGGAGGGAUGGGUGUCUGGAUCCCGGGGCUCGGGGCAGUGCAGCAGCUGUGCCCGGGCUGCUGGGGGGGUUUGGGAAGGCCGGGUGCCCACGGCCGGACCGGCUGAUGAGAAGAGCUGAAGUGUGGAAGUCAUUAACUCCACCCGCAUGCAGAAAUCGUCCCGUGCUCCCCCCAAAGGCUUCCCCGCAGGACGGAGCGAGGUCCUGGCUGCUCCCUCCUGUCCCCUCUGUCACCCCCGCUCGCAUCCGCGGGGUCUGGAGCGGAGCCGCCACCCAUCCGUGUCCCGGGGACAUCAGGGAGCCCUCGGAAAGGGGGACAUUGUACCCGGGCUGGGGAGCGACAGCCCCGUGUCCCCACACCUGGCAGCUCACCGGUGCCGUGGGACCGGAGCCGCAGAGGUGCGGAGAGAAGCUUUGGUGGGAGUGAACUGUGACAGCUUUUGGCUGGUGAGGUAAUUGAGGGGAACCGAGUGUUUAGGGCAGUAUGACAAAAGGGGUCCAGGAUUUGAGGUCCCUCAUGCACACAGAAUUGGAAAGCAUGAGGCUGAGAAGGUGUCUAAUACAAAUGGAAUAUAUUGUUUGAUUCAUAACUUGAAGUAAUACCUCUGCCUAGGGUUUUGGUGGAUUUGCUUCUCUACUCAACACUUUUUUUUCCCCCCUCUAUUUGUUUGCUGGCAUUAGCUUCCUGGGAAGAUGGUUGCCAGAGAGCCUGCUGCAUUUCCAGGUGGUUCCUCUUUUUCUUGCUUUCUCCAUUUCACCUUUCCAUUCUUCCUUUCUCUUCCCCUUGUCUUGUAAUGCACAACCUUCUUUCAAACACCCCAUCUCACUUGUGCUUCUCUUGCUUUCUCUGUGAUUGCAUCUUCUAUACAGAGGGUUUUUUCCUCCCCUCUGGCUGUGCUUUAUCUUACCUUUCUUAGCAUAUUUCUGCCCUUUUCUUUUGCUUUCCUCAUUCUCUAGAUUUUUUUUCUUCUUCUUCAAACUUUCUUCUCCUGUUUCAGGGAAUUUUAUUUUCCAUUUUCUUCCUCAUAUCUCUCAGGUUUGCCAUCCUCCCUUGCAGUGUCUGCUCCUUGUUUAUCAGCCCUUUCCUUCAGUCCGUUCUGUCUUCUGCUGGGUGUCUCAACAGGCAAUAAACUCAAGUCCCAUGGCCA
Molecule: long non-coding RNA, 1258 nt
Filed under: Parus major (Great Tit)
Lineage: Eukaryota; Metazoa; Chordata; Aves; Passeriformes; Paridae
Description: lncRNA (ENSPMJG00000012807.1)
Source: RNAcentral